CCUACGGGUGGCAGCAGUGGGGAAUAUUGGACAAUGGGGGCAACCCUGAUCCAGCCAUGCCGCGUGUGUGAAGAAGGCCCUCGGGUUGUAAAGCACUUUCAGUGAGGAAGAACGCCUGGUGGUUAAUACCCAUCAGGAAAGACAUCACUCACAGAAGAAGCACCGGCUAACUCCGUGCCAGCAGCCGCGGUAAUACGGAGGGUGCGAGCGUUAAUCGGAAUUACUGGGCGUAAAGCGCGCGUAGGUGGCUUGAUAAGCCGGUUGUGAAAGCCCCGGGCUCAACCUGGGAACGGCAUCCGGAACUGUCAAGCUAGAGUGCAGGAGAGGAAGGUAGAAUUCCCGGUGUAGCUGUGAAAUGCGUAGAGAUCGGGAGGAAUACCAGUGGCGAAGGCGGCCUUCUGGACUGACACUGACACUGAGGUGCGAAAGCGUGGGUAGCAAACAGGAUUAGAUACCCGUGUAGUC
RNAcentral lists this ribosomal RNA (465 nucleotides) under Vreelandella stevensii. RNAcentral's name for it is "partial 16S ribosomal RNA". It matches the Rfam family "Bacterial small subunit ribosomal RNA", at positions 338 to 795 of the family's 1533-position model. The record is from RNAcentral. Lineage: Bacteria; Pseudomonadati; Pseudomonadota; Gammaproteobacteria; Oceanospirillales; Halomonadaceae.